CAUGCAAGUCGAACGCGUUGGCCCAAUUGAUUGAUGGUGCUUGCACCUGAUUGAUUUUGGUCGCCAACGAGUGGCGGACGGGUGAGUAACACGUAGGUAACCUGCCCAGAAGCGGGGGACAACAUUUGGAAACAGAUGCUAAUACCGCAUAACAGCGUUGUUCGCAUGAACAACGCUUAAAAGAUGGCUUCUCGCUAUCACUUCUGGAUGGACCUGCGGUGCAUUAGCUUGUUGGUGGGGUAACGGCCUACCAAGGCGAUGAUGCAUAGCCGAGUUGAGAGACUGAUCGGCCACAAUGGGACUGAGACACGGCCCAUACUCCUACGGGAGGCAGCAGUAGGGAAUCUUCCACAAUGGGCGCAAGCCUGAUGGAGCAACACCGCGUGAGUGAAGAAGGGUUUCGGCUCGUAAAGCUCUGUUGUUAAAGAAGAACACGUAUGAGAGUAACUGUUCAUACGUUGACGGUAUUUAACCAGAAAGUCACGGCUAACUACGUGCCAGCAGCCGCGGUAAUACGUAGGUGGCAAGCGUUAUCCGGAUUUAUUGGGCGUAAAGAGAGUGCAGGCGGUUUUCUAAGUCUGAUGUGAAAGCCUUCGGCUUAACCGGAGAAGUGCAUCGGAAACUGGAUAACUUGAGUGCAGAAGAGGGUAGUGGAACUCCAUGUGUAGCGGUGGAAUGCGUAGAUAUAUGGAAGAACACCAGUGGCGAAGGCGGCUACCUGGUCUGCAACUGACGCUGAGACUCGAAAGCAUGGGUAGCGAACAGGAUUAGAUACCCUGGUAGUCCAUGCCGUAAACGAUGAGUGCUAGGUGUUGGAGGGUUUCCGCCCUUCAGUGCCGGAGCUAACGCAUUAAGCACUCCGCCUGGGGAGUACGACCGCAAGGUUGAAACUCAAAGGAAUUGACGGGGGCCCGCACAAGCGGUGGAGCAUGUGGUUUAAUUCGAAGCUACGCGAAGAACCUUACCAGGUCUUGACAUCUUGCGCCAACCCUAGAGAUAGGGCGUUUCCUUCGGGAACGCAAUGACAGGUGGUGCAUGGUCGUCGUCAGCUCGUGUCGUGAGAUGUUGGGUUAAGUCCCGCAACGAGCGCAACCCUUGUUACUAGUUGCCAGCAUUAAGUUGGGCACUCUAGUGAGACUGCCGGUGACAAACCGGAGGAAGGUGGGGACGACGUCAGAUCAUCAUGCCCCUUAUGACCUGGGCUACACACGUGCUACAAUGGACGGUACAACGAGUCGCGAACUCGCGAGGGCAAGCAAAUCUCUUAAAACCGUUCUCAGUUCGGACUGCAGGCUGCAACUCGCCUGCACGAAGUCGGAAUCGCUAGUAAUCGCGGAUCAGCAUGCCGCGGUGAAUACGUUCCCGGGCCUUGUACACACCGCCCGUCACACCAUGAGAGUUUGUAACACCCAAAGUCGGUGGGGUAACCUUUUAGGAGCCAGCCGCCUAA
Molecule: ribosomal RNA, 1450 nt
Filed under: Limosilactobacillus fermentum
Lineage: Bacteria; Bacillati; Bacillota; Bacilli; Lactobacillales; Lactobacillaceae
Description: bacterial SSU rRNA
Rfam family: Bacterial small subunit ribosomal RNA
Source: RNAcentral